Long non-coding RNA from Argentina anserina (silverweed cinquefoil), 226 nucleotides. RefSeq lists it as uncharacterized. The transcript has 3 exons. NCBI's taxonomy places the organism in Eukaryota, Viridiplantae, Streptophyta, Magnoliopsida, Rosales, Rosaceae. The record is from RefSeq and is a predicted model, not a curated record.
CCUGACUAUCUGUGCUCAUUCAAUUCUCAGGGAUUGACGGUAGUCAAUAUAUCUGCAACAACGUUCCUGCAAAACAUUGGAUUGGCUCCACGGGUAUCUUCUUGAGUGUAUUGAGCAUGGCAUUUCGUCAGUGUCCAUUGAAAACAUUAGGCCUGUGGAAAAGCAGAAUACAUGAGAUUAGAGGUAUAUUACGAUGCUCAGCACCAAUUUUACUCAUUUGGUAAGC